This 240-nucleotide unclassified non-coding RNA is filed under the name soil metagenome. Its description in RNAcentral is "partial contains 5.8S ribosomal RNA, internal transcribed spacer 2, and large subunit ribosomal RNA". The record is from RNAcentral.
AACCAUAGAAACCUGCGGAGUACCUGCGGAGGGAUCAUUACAGAGUUGCAAAACUCCCUAAACCAUUGUGAACGUUACCUAAACCGUUGCUUCGGCGGGCGGCCCGGGUCCUUCCCGGCGCCCCUCGGCCCUCGCGGGCGCCCGCCGGAGGUAAACCAAACUAUUGCAUUUGUAUGGCCUCUCUGAGUCUUCUGUACUGAAUAAGUCAAAACUUUCAACAACGGAUCUCAGAUCGGAAGA